RNAcentral lists this ribosomal RNA (469 nucleotides) under uncultured bacterium. RNAcentral's name for it is "partial 16S ribosomal RNA". It matches the Rfam family "Bacterial small subunit ribosomal RNA", at positions 27 to 507 of the family's 1533-position model. The record is from RNAcentral.
GGACGAACGCUGGCGGCGUGCUUAACACAUGCAAGUCGGACGGAAAGGCCCUGCUUUUGUGGGGUGCUCGAGUGGCGAACGGGUGAGUAACACGUGAGUAACCUGCCCUUGACUUUGGGAUAACUUCAGGAAACUGGGGCUAAUACCGGAUAGGAGCUCCUGCUGCAUGGUGGGGGUUGGAAAGUUUCGGCGGUUGGGGAUGGACUCGCGGCUUAUCAGCUUGUUGGUGGGGUAGUGGCUUACCAAGGCUUUGACGGGUAGCCGGCCUGAGAGGGUGACCGGCCACAUUGGGACUGAGAUACGGCCCAGACUCCUACGGGAGGCAGCAGUGGGGAAUAUUGCACAAUGGGCGGAAGCCUGAUGCAGCAACGCCGCGUGCGGGAUGACGGCCUUCGGGUUGUAAACCGCUUUCGCCUGUGACGAAGCGCGAGUGACGGUAAUGGGUAAAGAAGCACCGGCUAACUACGUG